Molecule: non-coding RNA, 108 nt
Organism: Acanthosepion pharaonis
Lineage: Eukaryota; Metazoa; Mollusca; Cephalopoda; Sepiida; Sepiidae
Source: the annotation of a GenBank genome assembly
UACAGCCAUAUCACAUUGAAACACUGGUUUUCAUAUGAUCACCAAAGUUAAGCAACACCGAGCCUAGUCAAUACCUAGAUGGAUGACCACUUGGGAAUACUAUGUGCA